GAAAAUUUGAAAUUAAGCUCAGAUUUGAUGUUUUGACCAACAAAGAGAAUCAACCACGCCAUGGCUGCAAUUUUGGUUCUCGACAAGGGUAUUUGAGGGAAAAUCAAAACUUUGCCACAAAACAACGACAUCUUCAAGCUUCUGGAUUUGGAGAUUCGAGGUGUUGGAGAGCCAAACAUAGUCUCCAUCUGUCUGAGUAGACCAAAGUACCCUUGUGUGAGGAUCAUAUAAUAUAAGGAUGCCAUUGAAGAAGAGCUCCGUCGAGUGAGCCCAUUUCGGUAAACGUGUCGUUCUGGCAUACCACAGUUGUUUCGAAGACUGGAUGUGGAGAACAGCUAGGUUGAGCUUGUUUUUAUUGACUCGGAGGAAACCCAAUGAGUAAUUUUACCGGUAGAAUCGCUGAGUAAUGGCUUUGGAGAGAGGCAACCACCCAUGAAAUCUCAAUCUCUCCAUAAUCCUCGUUCUUCCCUUCCAAGUUGAUUUCUGUGGGCUACA
RNAcentral lists this long non-coding RNA (495 nucleotides) under Olea europaea subsp. europaea. Lineage: Eukaryota; Viridiplantae; Streptophyta; Magnoliopsida; Lamiales; Oleaceae. The record is from RNAcentral.